RNAcentral lists this ribosomal RNA (461 nucleotides) under uncultured bacterium. Its description in RNAcentral is "partial 16S ribosomal RNA". It matches the Rfam family "Bacterial small subunit ribosomal RNA", at positions 338 to 795 of the family's 1533-position model. The record is from RNAcentral.
CCUACGGGAGGCAGCAGUGAGGAAUAUUGGUCAAUGGGCGCGAGCCUGAACCAGCCAAGUCGCGUGAGGGAAGACGGCCCUACGGGUUGUAAACCUCUUUUGCCGGGGAGCAACGGGCGCCACGUGUGGCUCCACUGAGAGUCCCCGGAGAAAAAGCAUCGGCUAACUCCGUGCCAGCAGCCGCGGUAAUACGGAGGAUGCGAGCGUUAUCCGGAUUUAUUGGGUUUAAAGGGUGCGUAGAUGGGUUGUUAAGUCAGUUGUGAAAGUUUGCGGCGCAACCGUAAAAUUGCAGUUGAAACUGGCAGUCUUGAGUGCAGUAGAGGUGGGCGGAAUUCGUGGUGUAGCGGUGAAAUGCUUAGAUAUCACGAAGAACUCCGAUUGCGAAGGCAGUUCACUGGACUGCAACUGACACUGAGGCUCGAAAGUGUGGGUAUCAAACAGGAUUAGAUACCCGAGUAGUC